CCUCGCUUCCACCCGGUUCAGGAGCACGUCAAGACAUCAUCCAUCACCCGCGAUGUCGUCGGUCCUCUUUGGAAACAAAUGAAGGACUAAUGAUGAUGGCCACUGACCUGCAGAGAGCUGUGCAUCUGGGAGGCCCUGCCCCAGGGGUCCGGCACCUUGAGAGUCAACAGGAGUGAGGCCAGCCUGAAUAAUCCAACCCUCCAAACAGAAACUAGGCUCUCUCUGUGAGAAGGGAAGGGAGAUUUAUUGCUGGUCUAAUAAGCACUGUGUACGCACAUUUGCUGGAGAAACU
This 292-nucleotide long non-coding RNA is filed under the name Monodelphis domestica (gray short-tailed opossum). Its description in RNAcentral is "lncRNA (ENSMODG00000037632.1)". The record is from RNAcentral. Lineage: Eukaryota; Metazoa; Chordata; Mammalia; Didelphimorphia; Didelphidae.